CCUACGGGGGGCAGCAGUGGGGAAUAUUGCACAAUGGGCGCAAGCCUGAUGCAGCCAUGCCGCGUGUGUGAAGAAGGCCUUCGGGUUGUAAAGCACUUUCAGCGGGGAGGAAGGCGGUGAGGUUAAUAACCUCAUCGAUUGACGUUACCCGCAGAAGAAGCACCGGCUAACUCCGUGCCAGCAGCCGCGGUAAUACGGAGGUGCAAGCGUUAAUCGGAAUUACUGGGCGUAAAGCGCACGCAGGCGGUCUGUCAAGUCGGAUGUGAAAUCCCCGGGCUCAACCUGGGAACUGCAUUCGAAACUGGCAGGCUAGAGUCUUGUAGAGGGGGGUAGAAUUCCAGGUGUAGCGGUGAAAUGCGUAGAGAUCUGGAGGAAUACCGGUGGCGAAGGCGGCCCCCUGGACAAAGACUGACGCUCAGGUGCGAAAGCGUGGGGAGCAAACAGGAUUAGAUACCCGGGUAGUC
RNAcentral lists this ribosomal RNA (464 nucleotides) under uncultured Klebsiella sp. Its description in RNAcentral is "bacterial SSU rRNA". It matches the Rfam family "Bacterial small subunit ribosomal RNA", at positions 338 to 795 of the family's 1533-position model. The record is from RNAcentral. Lineage: Bacteria; Pseudomonadati; Pseudomonadota; Gammaproteobacteria; Enterobacterales; Enterobacteriaceae.